RNAcentral lists this ribosomal RNA (447 nucleotides) under uncultured bacterium. Its description in RNAcentral is "SSU rRNA". It matches the Rfam family "Bacterial small subunit ribosomal RNA", at positions 26 to 518 of the family's 1533-position model. The record is from RNAcentral.
AGAGCGAACGCUGGCGGCAGGCUUAACACAUGCAAGUCGAGCGGGCGUAGCAAUACGUCAGCGGCAGACGGGUGAGUAACGCGUGGGAACGUACCUUUUGGUUCGGAACAACACAGGGAAACUUGUGCUAAUACCGGAUAAGCCCUUACGGGGAAAGAUUUAUCGCCAAAAGAUCGGCCCGCGUCUGAUUAGCUAGUUGGUGAGGUAACGGCUCACCAAGGCGACGAUCAGUAGCUGGUCUGAGAGGAUGAUCAGCCACAUUGGGACUGAGACACGGCCCAAAACUCCUACGGGAGGCAGCAGUGGGAAUAUUGGACAAUGGGCGCAAGCCUGAUCCAGCCAUGCCGCGUGAGUGAUGAAGGCCCUAGGGUUGUAAAGCUCUUUUGUGCGGGAAGAUAAUGACGGUACCGCAAGAAUAAGCCCGGCUAACUUCGCGCCAGCAGCCGC